This 557-nucleotide ribosomal RNA is filed under the name Phascolosoma esculenta. RNAcentral's name for it is "partial 16S ribosomal RNA". It matches the Rfam family "Bacterial large subunit ribosomal RNA", at positions 1839 to 2620 of the family's 2925-position model. The record is from RNAcentral. Lineage: Eukaryota; Metazoa; Annelida; Sipuncula; Phascolosomatiformes; Phascolosomatidae.
UGGGGAAUUGGAGGCAUUGCCUGCCCAGUGACAACUGUUUAACGGCCGCGGUAUCCUGACCGUGCAAAGGUAGCAUAAUCAUUUGUUCUCUAAAUAAGGACUUGUAUGAAUGGCCGCACGAGGGUUUUACUGUCUCUUACUUCCAAUCAGUGAAAUUGACCUUCCCGUGAAGAGGCGGGAAUGCACAAAUAAGACGAGAAGACCCUAUGGAGCUUUAACUAACCAACCCAAAGAGAAUAGAUUUAACCAUUAAGGAAUAACAACAAUCUCCAUGAGUUGGUAGUUUCGGUUGGGGUGACCUCGGAGAAUAAAAAAUCCUCCGAGCGAUUUUAAAGACUAGACCCACAAGUCAAAUCACUCUAUCGCUCAUUGAUCCAAAAACUUGAUCAACGGAACAAGUUACCCUAGGGAUAACAGCGCAAUCCUAUUCAAGAGUCCAUAUCGACAAUAGGGUUUACGACCUCGAUGUUGGAUCAGGACAUCCUGAUGGUGCAACCGCUAUCAAAGGUUCGUUUGUUCAACGAUUAAAGUCCUACGUGAUCUGAGUUCAGACCGGA